RNAcentral lists this non-coding RNA (23 nucleotides) under Arabidopsis thaliana (thale cress). Lineage: Eukaryota; Viridiplantae; Streptophyta; Magnoliopsida; Brassicales; Brassicaceae. The record is from RNAcentral.
GGCAAUAUCAAAUUUGGUGAAGG